Molecule: ribosomal RNA, 368 nt
Filed under: uncultured organism
Description: bacterial SSU rRNA
Rfam family: Bacterial small subunit ribosomal RNA
Source: RNAcentral
CGGAGGGUGCAAGCGUUAUCCGGAUUCACUGGGUUUAAAGGGUGCGUAGGUGGGCAAGUAAGUCAGUGGUGAAAUCUCCGGGCUUAACCCGGAAACUGCCAUUGAUACUAUUUGUCUUGAAUACUGUGGAGGUCAGCGGAAUAUGUCAUGUAGCGGUGAAAUGCUUAGAUAUGACAUAGAACACCAAUUGCGAAGGCAGCUGGCUACACAAAUAUUGACACUGAGGCACGAAAGCGUGGGGAUCAAACAGGAUUAGAUACCCUGGUAGUCCACGCCCUAAACUAUGGAUACUCGACAUUUGCGAUAAACUGCAGGUGUCUGAGCGAAAGCAUUAAGUAUCCCACCCGGGAAGUACGAUCGCAAGAUUG